GGAUGCGCCAAUUGUUAUUGAUUGGCCCUCCUAAAAUGUAGCUCUUGACUGUGGACUACUAUAGUAGUUUGGCUUAAUAGUUUUGGCACUUGUUUGUCAAAUCUUUGGCUACAUUUACUUUGGUCCAUGCAGUCUUGAUAUACAGAAAACUCAAAUACAACUUUGAUCUGAAAUCAGGUAGGGCUACCCGCUGAACUUAA
This 200-nucleotide unclassified non-coding RNA is filed under the name soil metagenome. Its description in RNAcentral is "partial contains internal transcribed spacer 2 and large subunit ribosomal RNA". The record is from RNAcentral.